This 29-nucleotide non-coding RNA is filed under the name Cricetulus griseus (Chinese hamster). Lineage: Eukaryota; Metazoa; Chordata; Mammalia; Rodentia; Cricetidae. The record is from RNAcentral.
UGAUUUCUAAUUGUGUUCUUACUUUGUAG